GUGUUUCUGACCUUACAGCUGUCAGUAACCCUGAGGUCAUGGAGGAACUGAAUCCAAAAGCCUAAAUGACAAACAACCACCCUGAACACAGUUCAUGAAUAAAUUCUGCACUGGAAAAAGGAGCGGUGCCACCACAUUCUCUCUGUAAACUGGGAGUUCAUUGAUUAUUCAUCAUCAUAUCAUGAACUGAUAGAAUCAGGGUUGUGAAUCUAGUAAUAGAUGCUUAUUGAUUGGAGUACAAAGAAAACUAAUCUGGAAAAUAAGUUGACAAAUAUUUUAUAAACAUUAUCAAACAUAAACGGUGACAAAUUUCCUGAUGAUCAAAUGUUUGCUUAAAUGUGCAUAAAUCAAAUGAGGAUUCAUAUUUUCUGAAAUGAAAACAUCACAGUGCUUCAUACAAACAUAAUUGAUGUUAAAUUUGUGCAUUCAUCUAAAAAUAUUAAACAUAGUUACAGUUCAA
This is a long non-coding RNA of Larimichthys crocea (large yellow croaker), 460 nucleotides long. RefSeq lists it as uncharacterized. The record is from RefSeq and is a predicted model, not a curated record. NCBI's taxonomy places the organism in Eukaryota, Metazoa, Chordata, Actinopteri, Sciaenidae. The transcript is spliced from 2 exons.